AAAUCGACACCAAUUUGUCGCAAUCCGUUCAAAAUAGAGAUUUAACUAAUAUGAUACCGGGGGUGGCUCUGUGAGCUUCUUUUUCAAACUAACACCUUAUAACUCCGAAAAUUCUAAAAUAUUCAAUUUUUUUUUCAACCUUUUCGAUUAUUCAAUUCAAUCUUUAUGUGAUAGCUUCACACACUUGCCGGCGACCGGGGU
This 201-nucleotide long non-coding RNA is filed under the name Ananas comosus (pineapple). RNAcentral describes it as "long non-coding RNA (ACOM_LNC009168)". Lineage: Eukaryota; Viridiplantae; Streptophyta; Magnoliopsida; Poales; Bromeliaceae. The record is from RNAcentral.